This 28-nucleotide transfer RNA is filed under the name Davallia mariesii. RNAcentral describes it as "partial tRNA-His". RNAcentral also lists the same sequence under 12 other names. The record is from RNAcentral. Lineage: Eukaryota; Viridiplantae; Streptophyta; Polypodiopsida; Polypodiales; Davalliaceae.
CGGACGUAGCCAAGUGGAUCAAGGCAAU